RNAcentral lists this transfer RNA (70 nucleotides) under Aeolothrips indicus. RNAcentral's name for it is "tRNA-Val". The record is from RNAcentral. Lineage: Eukaryota; Metazoa; Arthropoda; Insecta; Thysanoptera; Aeolothripidae.
UGAACCAAAGCUUAUAUGCAAGCAUUUCACUUACACUGAAACGAAGUCUGCUCAGACCAGACUGGUUUAA